RNAcentral lists this ribosomal RNA (308 nucleotides) under Chaetopleura angulata. RNAcentral's name for it is "eukaryotic LSU rRNA". It matches the Rfam family "Eukaryotic large subunit ribosomal RNA", at positions 666 to 946 of the family's 3401-position model. The record is from RNAcentral. Lineage: Eukaryota; Metazoa; Mollusca; Polyplacophora; Chitonida; Chaetopleuridae.
CCAAGGAGUCUAACACGUGCGCAAGUCAUUGGGUGCAGCGAAACCUAAAGGCGCAAUGAAAGUGAAGGCAGCCUCCGGUUUGCCUAGGUAGGAUUCCUGUUCCUCGGAACGGGACGCACUACCAGCCCGUUUCGUCCUCUUCGAGGUGAGGCGGAGCAAGAGCGUGCGCGUUGGGACCCGAAAGAUGGUGAACUAUGCCUGAGCAGGACGAAGCCAGAGGAAACUCUGGUGGAAGUCCGUAGCGAUUCUGACGUGCAAAUCGAUCGUCGAACUUGGGUAUAGGGGCGAAAGACUAAUCGAACCAUCUA